Molecule: long non-coding RNA, 22054 nt
Organism: Gallus gallus (chicken)
Lineage: Eukaryota; Metazoa; Chordata; Aves; Galliformes; Phasianidae
Exons: 5
Source: RefSeq, a predicted model, not a curated record
GGGUGGAGAUAACUGGGACAUUUUCUCACCACCACCAAUGAAUAAAAGUUAUUCUUUCCGAAGUGCCUUCAUAUCAAUUGAAACAUUUUCAGCAGUGCAGUGCAAUAGAAAAUAUAGAAAUAUGACCUCCAUGCGAAUCGAAGUGGAUAGAUUGACAAAGGCAUGAAUACAGCUACUUACUUUGGGUUAUUAUAGACAUAAAACUGGCUUGCAUGAGAACACGCAGAUUUCGGUCCUCACUUCCAAACCAACAGACAACAGAAUUCAUGCUACCAUUGUUCUUGAAAAAUGUGCUACAGAUACAAGGCCAGAUCCCUGAGGAAAAAGAAGAUGAAUCACAUUUCUUAAGGAGUUGGCUGAUUCAAGAGCAUAACUCAAAUCCCUGAAAAUCAGAAGGCAUUGUUUUGCAACAGCUCUACAAUUGUUAGCCUUAACUACUAGUGAAAUGUUGAUUAAUCCUCUUUUUUUUUUUUUUUUUUUUUUUGUAUAUUUGUUUUCUGGGGGAAAAUUAGGAUAAUCACGGGAUUUUUUUGCACAAUUGAGAAGUAGAAAUUUCUGUCUCUUUUAUCUUAAAUAGCACUUGAGAUUCUAAUAAAGAUUUGACUCAGAAGGCAUGGCACUAAGAAAUUAUUAAUUUUCAAAAUGAUAAUAAAAACUGUGAUGUUAUUACUGAUAAUCAGCACACAGUCAAAAUUAAUCUGCCAUAUAAGCAUAAGAUGAUCCUUGCCCUUAGCUGCAGCUAUUUUUCUAACACUGGGAAUGAAGACAUGGACUUCAAGAUCACCAGACUCUUAAAGACCAUUUUUUCCUGUCUUUGCAUUAAAUUAAAUAAAAAAAAAUAAUAAUAAAAAAACGCAGGUCAUACCUACAAGAAAUUGUAGAGGAUUUCUUGCUACAAAUCCAUCUGUCUUGUCACUACUCUUCUGCAGUUCCACAAAGUGGAUUCCACACUGCUCUCUUUCCUAAAUCUUCCUUUUCCAAAUUUAGCACAUACUGGUUCCCUCUUCCAGGGAACUGCCCUACUCAUCAAAAGUGGAGUGAUUAAGUUCCCAACUUUGGCACAGUCCAUCCUCUCUUUCUAAUUUAGAAUAUAAUCCAUAAAGUUUAGUUUAAUUACUCAUCAUAGAUAUGUGCGUGAAACAUGACACAUUUUGCCCCAAGGACAGAGAUCAUUAGAUGUACUAGAAACGGCUGCUCCAUUCACAGCUCCACAGACACUCCCGUUCUCUGUCUGUUCAACAUCAGAAAAGCCACAUUGACACAGAGAGCGUGCACCCUUGUAUGCUGCUGUAGCAAGUACAUUCACCUUCAGAUCUGGUGGCUACUGCAUGAUCUAGUAGUCAAGAGAAAUGGAGAAAAGGCAAGUGCUUAAAAAUAUGUAUACAGAUUCAGUUUUGAUUCUAAACUUGGUCUGUGAAAGUUGUAAGAAAAUGUCAGUGUACUAUAAGUAGUCAAAAUUCCAGCAAUUCACUGUGUCUGUGCAAAGUUUUAGCAUGAGGGAUAUGUACUAUAAAAAAUUGUUUGGCUUCAUAAUUUCAGUGAUGUGUAGAUCUUGUCCUCAUGUGAUAUUCACAGAACAUUUUCUAUUUAACAGAGGUAGUAGGUGACACCGCUUAACUUCUCAUUUUUCUGAAAAAUUGAAAAGUGAAGGAACACAACAACAUUCCUUUUACAACUGAUGUACACAAAAGCACCCUGAAUAACACUUGAGCACCUCGAUAUUUGUUCUAAUAGCACAGGAAAAAACACUGCUCCUGCUCAGUCAAAAUAUUUUUCAGCUACAGAUUUACAUGUGUAACUUGCUGUAAGUAUGUGCACAAGAGUAUUACGCAGAAUGUAGAUUAUAUUACACCAUUCUUAAAUGUUGGCAUUCAGUUAUACUGUAACACAUCUGGAGAUACUCCUCUGAAUUUACUUCAGUUUUGCAUUGAAUGAAGAACAGCCAGAAGCUUGGACCAUCCAUUUUAUUUUCUUGCCUCCAAAAUGAGAAUACACUGUGCAGCACUGAUGAGACACGAUUGGCAGUGUACAACACAAUAUUCAUGCUCUGGGAUAGCACCAAUGAAUCUAACUUUAAAUAAUCCUCUUUUUUUUUUUUUUUUUUUUUAAUGUGUGUGUGAAUGUGUGUGCAUAAACAUAUAAUCUGCAUGCUCUGGUUCUGUGCAUCAGUUUUCAAACUAGGGCUAAAUUUUUUAUAGCAGACAUCCAAACCACUCUAGCAUAAUUUAUGAUGGAAGUGCUGACACAGAACUAACUGUGGUGGCAUGAACAAUGCUCAUAUUAAACAAAAAGCAAAGGUUCCUUAAAAUAAACUGCAUGAACUUCAAAACUCAGAUUAAAAGCAUAUGAACCUGAAAUAAUUUUAUUGAUGAUUACGUUCUGUAAACCCAAAAAAGCCAGAGAGGGAAAAUUUUUGAGUCAUGACUUCUAAAAGUUUUCUUUGGAAAAAUCAGAAUUUGUAAAGUGUGUACAGCACUUCUUUGUAUUUGAAAAACCUAUAUGCCUUAUUUAUAGCAUGCAUUGUGGCUAUUGGUAUGCAUGGACACAUUCUAAUAGUGUUUCACCACAACAAAAGCCAUCAUGCUGGCAAAAGGAGACAGGAAAAUCUAACACACUCCUACCAUGACCAAGAUGGUAAGAGCUGCUGCAGUUGCCAAAUACGAUACACAAAACAUUUAAUUUAUAAUAGUUAGAACUUGGCCCUUGACCAAACCCAAAGAACUAUGUCUUAUUUCACUUGCUCUUGAAUAUGUCUCUUUCAGAGAUAAAUGACUGUGCUGCUUGCCAGUUCUCUCCUCUGUUUGGCGUUUUGUUUAGCUCUGCUUGUGACAAGCCAAGAGUUGAUGCAUCUGCUUGAAUGUGUAAUAUACAUCUUUGGUCAACUUAGCUUUUUUCCUUGACAAUAUUAUGUCAAACAAUCACAUCACAACUGGCUCUGAUCUCUUUGUUGUUAGCUAAUAAAUUAAAGAGUAUUUAUUAUCUGCAAUCCUUUUUUCCCUUUUAAUGGUGACACAUUUGUGGUGAAUUACAGGGCAGCUUUAUAAACUAGGCUGUGGGCCAGUAUCAGCCCCUGCGUUCAUGUGAAUGUUCCCUCUCCCACUUGGCCUCCCAGCCUGGUGGUAAAUCAAGGCAGCUGUCACAGUACACUAAGUUAGUGUGCGUCAUUGGGGAGAGCAGGAAGCGUUGGGGUAUAAUUCUGUCCAUCAAACUAAUAUGUUAUAUCAGUAGCUUUGUAAUCUUCUGCUGUAAGUUAUGGGGAGUGACACCUAAGAAUUCACUUUGAAAGCAAUGUGUUCCUCAGACUUUAAGCCAAAACAGACCCAAUCUGCAGCAAGAGUUCCUCUGUUUAUAUGAGUGGAUUUGUAGCAGCUAACAGCCCCAUCACUAUCAAUGCAGCAGUAUUUUACACAUUCCAAAGCAAGCCUCUCUCUGUUUACAGACUUUGCAGUAGAAUUUGUAAACUUUUAAAGCAUGAUUUCUUCCCUUCUCCUUUUUUUACCCUUGCUUUAACCUCCAGUAGCAGGACAGAUAAAUAUACUCCUUGAAUGUUAUCAUGACAAAGUGAACUCCUGACAGAUAGGAAUGAAUGGGCGACCUAUUUCCCUUGUCCAUACCCCCUUCAACCUUUGCCUUGACAAAUGUGGGAAAUAGCUGAGUAGGACAGGAGAAGAAUACACACAGCACUAUGAUAGGAAUGUCAGCUUUUUUGCUAAACGUUCACAUGAUACUAAAAGAAAUGUGUGAAGAUAACCUUAAAUAGGAAGCAUGUUUUCUAAACAGCUUCACAGAGAUCCAAUUCACACUGUAUCUCCUCUGAAAGGAUGGCUUAUUUUUAGAGACUAUUUUUAAAGCUUUUAAAGACCAGCAAAAGAGGAACUUGGACUCAAUUAGGGGGGUUUUGUGAGGUGUGAUUUGAUCUGAAAGAAACCUAUAGGGCAUCUUCAAAGAGACUCAACCAUACAAGCAUUUUCUGCAAAACUGACACACAGAAAUCAAAGUGCUGAAGACAUUAAAUAUCUGUACACUCUUCAUCAAUCUAUUUUAAAGGUUUGGUAUUAAACCCAACCCAACUUUAGUUCCAUAAUCUUUGUAAUCAAUAGUAAACGUAAAACAAACUAAAAAAAAAACAAACAAAAACUAAAAAAAAAAAAAAACCACCAAAAAACAUCAUUAGAAAAUAGUACUUUUAGUAAUUUUAAUUCUUAAAUCUAAUUCCAGAGACUAUUACAAUACAGAAAAGGCUUCUUGGGAAAAUCUGACUUAACUUACUCUUACCACAUACAGUGCUAUCAUCAUCUCAUCAACCUUUGAUCUAGUUUACUUUAGAUUUUAAAACACAUUCAUGACAGUUAGAAGUAUUUCAACUUCCAUUAAUCUGCACAAUAUACAAAUGCUAUUUUAACAUUCAUUUUAGCAUCAACUUGAAAAUCACAAAUGGUAUUUCACAGGAUCAUGUGGCAUAACACAUUGCCUAAACCUUCAAAAAUCUUAAAUUUUGUUGUAUCAGAUCCUGUUCACAUGCCUUAAAAACUUUAAAAAGUAUGUGUUAGACUUAGUUUAACAUUAAUAAAACCAAAUAUUUUAUCUUAAAGUAACCUACCUAGAGACCACUUUUUUCAUCUGUAUCUGUUCAUCCCAUAUAAUUAAAGCAGUAUUUUUUUUAGAUAUUUUCUCUACAGUAUCAUAAAAAAGUACAUCUCAAAAUUUUCCCCUGCUUGUAACUGCUGUGAUCUGAACAAAACUGUCUAAAUUUUGACUUAAGUUUUAAAAAGUUGAACUAAAUUCAUAGAUAACAGGAUUAAAUACAGAAAGAUUCUAUGUCUGGAGAUACAAGGAAUUUAAAUGUGUUUGCAUCAAUCAUCAUACUGUACUUCUUUGUUACACUUUUCAUUUGCAAUUCUUUCAUUCGGCGUCAUCUUGCACUAUUUCCUUUUUUUUUUUUUUUUUUUUUUUAAUAUAUUUAAAGGUAAACAGUCUCUCUUUCACCGCACACCAUCUGGGGGACAGGAGGGUGGUGUGUUUGUGCAGAACUGCUGUCUAAAAACUCCAGGACUACAGAGAGCUUCUUCACUCAAGGCUGCUUUGCUAGAAAUCAUGUGCCUAUGAUGACUUCUACCACGGUUUUCUUUUACAUGGCCCAUCGUAUGAUUCAACACACAAGACUAUAUAGCAGUUAAAAAACUAGUAGCUUUGGCCACUUUUUUAAAAAUAAACCACUGAUGAAGAUACUGUACAAAUACCUCUGCUUAAGUCCACAAAAGCACAGAUCCUGCAAACACCAGGCAUUAGCAAUGAAGGAUAAAGUCUCUGAUCAGGAGAAUGAUCAAGAACAACUUCCUACAAAGAUGAGCAUUUGAAAGCCAUGUUCAAAGAUUCAAUAAAACCUUCCCUUCUGCCCUCUAUGCCAGAUCAGCUUUUUCUCAACAAACUGCCUUGCAGCUGCGAGGUUCUAAGCCUAAGGUAAAGUUAUUUGGCAAGGUACUGUAAAAACUGAAUCAAGCAUCUGUGAUAUUUUUCACAGGUAUUUUUUUCCACCUGUGACUGCUGACUAAGGUGCUUGUUCUGAAAACCUCAAGUGCAGCCCUGCCAGUCCUGCCAUUAACAGAUUCAUUGUUCCCCACUGCUGGAUAAUAACUACAUUUCUCAAGUCACCUACAAAAAUUAUAGCAGUUGCACCAGGUUGGCCAUCUGAGAUUUGGCAAUGAAAUAGUUUGCUCCUGUUUUCACGAGCAGUCAUGUAAAGCCAUAUAAAAAUUCAUCCAUAGUUCAAAGUACAUCAGAGAGACAGGCUGUCAGUACACAAAGCUAACAUUUGGACCGAAUCAUCCAUCGCUAGCUAAGCACUCAGAAAUCGAGUAAAGCAUCCUUUAUAUACACAGAGCAGAGUCCUGUGACUUUCCCACAGCAUGACCUUCUAAACUCAAAUGUGACUGUAUUCAUCUGAAAGUUGUUGGCUAUUUUCUUCUUCUUAUGGAUGCACUUUGAUGAGAAUUUUUUAAGAUUACAUGGGAGCCAAAUUUCUCUGAAAAUAAACACAAGGUGGGUAGUUUAUCCAGUCACUCGCUUUUGGAAUUCCUUGCUUUCAGUGAUGGUUUGGGACAUUCAAAGGUGAACAUCAGAAAAAAUGAGAGCAUUUUUCAAAUUAAUUACAUAAUUUUAAGACAAUGUCAGACAUCAAAACACGCAAAUUUGAUCAAAUCUUUGAAAAAUGAGAAUUUCAUUUGGUUCCAGUUGGUGUAGACCCCAACGUCAUAUUCCCUGGACAAGAACUUUGACCAUAGCUGGUCACAUGCACAGGAUUUGAAAGGAUUUGUCCAACUUUUGGUAUUAAACAAGUCUUAAAAUUCUUUAGCAUAAAGCGAUGACAUGUUUAAUAUUAUCCUAGGAAAUAUCACAAAUUUCAGUAAUUUGUUAAGCACCUGGCUUCUCCAAACUCAUGUUCAUUGCUCUUUCUUGUCCUUUGUUAGGAGAGAAGAGAAACAAAAGAAAGAGAAAUAAUGGGGUAUCUACUUACACUUCUAGUAUACAGGUCUCCUCUCCGGUUUUCAAACAAAUUCAAGCAUAUUAAUUAAAACCUAACUUCAAGGCAUAUCACGCAUUUUCCUGAGAAAUACUAUUUUCAUAUAAGUGAAAAAUUAUCACCUAAACUACAUUUUCAUUACUUUCUGGAUAGUUAGAUAAAAACAGUAGUUCAUAUAGCUAUUAUAUACACUUAAUAAAUCUAAAGUCGAUAACACUUAAUUACUGAAGAUACUGUAGGACAAAUAUUUAGUGAAAAAAAAAAGACAACAACAUUUCAAUGGAUUUUUAAAAACAAAUCUCACAUAAACAUAUUUUCCUUUAAUGCCCUUAAGAUCUCUUUUACAAUUACACUUAAUUUAAAGAAUCUGUCAAUGAGGAUUCCUUUAGCAGUUCUAAUGUUUGAAUUAGAUAACAGAAGCUGAUAAACUCACAAUAAGAAAUGAGAACAUUCAGUACUAGUGGUGAGUGGCUUCCAGGAUACAUAUCACUAUAGCUUUCAAAUUGAAGACUUGUUUCGCUUUUCUGCUAAUCAGUUUACUUUUUCUAUAAUUGAACUGCUCUCUCUUUAGCAAUAUUCUUUACUGAUUUUCUUUUGCAAACCCAUUUGAAAUCUGCUCGGUACUAAUUUCUUCUUUUUUUUUUUUCUAUUUUAAGAAAGAAACAAAUACAUAUAUGAGGUUAUUUCUCUUCUGUAAAUGCUUAGGGUUGUUUUGUUUUGUUUAAACCCAUCUUGUUUCAAUCCCACACACUUUUAAUGACUGUAAUAUAAAUGAUAACCUCCUUUCAAGAAUAUAAACAGAAAGCAGUAGAAAGAACAAACAUCAGCUGAACUAAUCCUCUGCUCUGCAGUUCUGUUGUAGAUUGAAUGACCCUAAGCUAGCUUUUCUGAUUUGUUAAAAAUGUAGCAGGCUAACUUGGGCAUGAUGGAUUACAAUUCCACUGUGAAUUUUGGGGGUUUGAUUACUUCUGUUCCACCCUUUCAUGAAAAUUUCAGUCACAUGAUUCCACUCAGAGAGAGAACAAACCAGUCCAUUCUGCUGCAAAGUGGAAUGAACACUGCUCAACUAUUGUCAGGCUUUGGAGAUGAACAUUUUCUUCAAUGUAGCUCCUAAUCUCAUCACUGCUAAGAAAUGGCAUAUGAAUAUAAAAAGAGCUAUAGGUAGUACUUGUGAACAGACUGCUUCCUUGGAAGUAGUUAAUUGAGACGCUGUCAUUUUUUAGUUUUCUGAAUGUUUAUUGGUGUUUUAAAUGGGAUAUAAGCAGUCGUGACCUUUUGUGUCUGAUGUCAGAGAAAUGAAAAGGCCCAGCAAUAACUGGAGUUUACAUUGGCUUCAUUUUCUUGCUCUGAAUUAAAUACAGGCUAUAUCCAGCACACCAUACAUUCUUGAAGGCUUAAGAUGCAAUUCAAGGCCUUCUUGUGUGAAGAAAACAGAUAACAGCUGGAAAAUUAUGGAGUAGUUCCAACAGGGACUUGUGCUUCCACAUAGAGCUAUGCUCAAUGAAUUACAAUUAUAAUAUCUCUACGGUUGUCAAACAACUACUUACUUUAAAAACACCAGCUGUACUAUGCUGCCUUUUCUUCUUUUUUUGUUGUAAGACUUAUCAAACAAAUAAAAUAUUGUAUACUCUUCAGUGAAAGGCCGACUUGGAAACUUUGAAGAAGAUUACAAGAAAGAAAACAAGUCAACCUGUAGUUCUUCAUAUACACUAGCUAAAAUUAUCUAAUUCCUCUGUGCUUAAUGUUUAAUGACUGACCAAAAAUGGUCUGUGUAUUUGAGAGGAUUUAAGUACUUAUUUGAUGUCUUUCGGGACCGCAUGGAUUUAUCUAUGCAAGUAUACCAUUGUCAAAUCUAUCAAACAUUUUAUUAUCAUGACAGCUUUUCACAUGCCAGCUAUGUGCCAGUUUUCAUAAACUUUUAUAAGAAAUACCUACUCUUUUUUUCCCCAUGUUUAUUGUCUCCAGAGUAUGUAAUGUAAAAAAUAAAGGAGCUAAAUCCAAAGGAAUAGCAGAAUGUUGAAUAAAGCAAUAACAGAGAUGACUUAUUUUUACAAGUUCAAUUCUACAUUAUUAGAAAAAUCUGGAGUAAUUUCAACACUAUCUUAGCAUAGGAUUCCUAAGAAUUAAAAUAAUGUAAUGUCUGAAUUUCAGAUACAUUACAACUGGAAUUCUGAUUCUAAGCAUUGCUAUAACAGGUACUUGGAAGAAGAUAUAAAUUCUAGAAUGAAAAUUAAAAUCUCUAUGGAAGAUGCUCCACCAACACUUACUAUACCGUUUUGAAAACCAAUGCCUUCAUGAGUUCAUAUGUAACAGCAUGUAAUAUAUCUCACUCUGGGUUUAGCCAAUUCCAACCACUCGGAAAAAGCCUGGUGCUUGUUCCACAUAAGUUUGUUUUGAAACCCAAAGUUUUUCCCUCAGUUAAUGCUGGAAUUCUCUGAAUCACCUAUAAGAGACUAUCUUACUUCACUGAGACCACUACAAAACAAUCUAGGAUUGGAACUGCACAUUUUUUCAUAAGGAAAAUAUAAAAUUUACAUUUAAUUCUCACAGAAAACAAAAUUGCAAUGGAGCAAUACGGUCUCUACUAAUCUGCAUUCCUCAAAUACAUUUCUACUAUGUAGGUUUCUCAAAUUCUUUAUUUUUCUGCAUUUUUCUACCUUUCCUCCAUCAACAGAUGCUUUCUUCUUUACUUCUCAUGUCACUCUUUUUUUCUUUCAUUUUUCUCUCUCUCUCUUUCUCUUUUUUUUUUUUUAAUUUCUCUUUUAUUUCAAAAGGCAAGCCAGUGACAAGAGUGGCUGGAGAAUGACAACUUACUUUUCAGCAUCAUCAAACUGACAGCUCUAGGACCAAGUGCUGAUAUAAGCUAAUAAUGAUAAACUUGUCAAUAGAUUUACAGAAUGCAUUGAAAGAUUCUAUUUUCCUCACAGGAUUAAGAAAAAGAAAUGUUUCUCUAGGAAAGACAAAUCAUAUUUUUGAAUCAAUUUAUUAAUCACUUAUGAUUAAAAUCUGCUUCAUCCCAUGCCCCUUCAAGUCAGACAAGAUGAAGAAGUUCUAUUCACUUGCUAUACAAGGCUCAAACUAGCAGAAAAUUUCUGUGGAAACUUUCCACAGUGUCCAGAACCUCUCCCAGAUUAUGGCAACAGUAUUUUGUGUAAGAAAUCUUUAGCUCAAGUGUAUGUCCAGUUUGUUAUAUUUUGAAUCUCAGUAUUCCAAGUGAUUUCUCUUAAAUGUCUAUUUAGUAAUAAAAUAAUGUAUAACAUAGUCCAAAUCUCUUCCUCCAAAAGAAAAUGCCACCAAACAGAAAUGUUGGUUUUUUUUUCAGUACUAAAAUCCUCAAGUAAUUUUUAGAUGGCAUAGCAACUUGAACAUGAGCCUGUUGGCCUUACUAACUGUGAAGAGUAUCAUGUAUCAGAAAACAAAGCUCAAAUCUAGCAGAUCAGCGCAGCAGUAACUUCACAGCCCUGUGGGAGCCCUUUCUAACUACAGGGCAAGAGCUUUUCACUUCCCAUAAUAAAUAUUAUAAUGGUUUCAAGUCUCAGUUGAUCACAUAAAUGCUUUGUGGUAAUUUGGAAACAGACACUGAUAGGUGCUUAGGCAGUACUGAGCUAGAGAUGCUUCAUUUAGGACUCAGCACCUUUCAGGAUAAGACCAUUUACACAUAGCUUAAGGGUUCACAAUCUGGCAGUCUGUAGCUGAAGUAGCUUGAGAAGAUGCUAAGUCUUCAAGCAUAUCAGGCCAGAGAAGGUGAAAAAAAAACAAUUUUCUACCAUAAGGAAUCUGUCAAUAAAAGGGUGAAAUUUUUGCAGGGCACCCAAAAUUCAAUUUUCAUGAAACUACAAAGCGAUCCAAGUAUAACUUUCAUGGUUCUCAGAAACACGCUUGUUUUUAUAGUCCCCGUAUAAUCACUACAGUAUUUUUACGACACUGUUCUGUUUUCAAGCAAAGUUUGACCAACUCAUCAUCAGCAAAAAUCAUUGGACAGUAUCUCAUAUUAAAAUUGAAAGCUUUUUUUUUCCUAUAAAAUUUUUAGAGUUUUCAAUAAAAUAAUAUGUACACAGCAUAAUAUUGCAAUUUAACCAGCAAGUAUAGAGCCAUUUAAAUCUCUGAGGAAGACAGCAAAUGGUGUAAGCAGGGGUUCUGCUUAACCCACACACCCUGCUAAUACAUUUUAGAUAACUGGCCAGAGCAUUUAAAUAAAGUCCAGAUUCAAUUUAACAGUAUUUGUAACAAAGCUUUAUCUUAUUAUAUUAGUCAAUCUUUAUUACUAGUCUCACAAGUGCAGAAAACCCUAUUAUAAUCUUUCUUUCUAAUGAUCUUUUCACUAUCAUAGUAAUAGAACUCAGCUAUAAAUUAAUCAUCUGUUUGCAAUCAUGAGUAAACAUCAACUCAAUUAACAAUUGAUAAAUAAACAGUUGAGUCUACAGGCUAUUUCUGUUACAAAUGCAAGUACCGAAAGAUUCAGCACAGCUUUGCUACUUAACUCAAAUGAACAUUCCUGUGUAUUCAGAGAUUUCUGUUCUGCUUAGAUUAAAUGGAACAUUACAUGAGCUGAGCAGGUUUCCCACCACAACGUUGCCACCCAUCUUUUGUGCUACUGAGCGUGGGGGAGGAUAUUGUCUGUCUUUUCUGAGGACUGCUUUGUUCCUUUCAGACUAAACAUAAGUUCAGGUGAACAGACUACAAGUGAAUUGAUUUAAUGUGAAGAAAGCUGCAGGGAAAACUUUUCCUUUGCUAAGCUACUGUCUUGGUUUCAGCUGGGAUGGAACUCUUUUCUUCAGAGUGUCUGAUUUUGUCUUUUAGAGUAAUGAUGACAACUGAAUCAUCGAACAGGCUCAAGGAAAGAAAGCCAUUUCAACAAUCAUAAUCUGGCCCAGACAGGAACCAAAGGACUUCCACCCUACUGCCUCACGUCUAUUCACUGCUCCCCGUCCCCAUCUCUUCCAUGAUACUGUUGCUGAAUUUGCAUGUUAAGUUUUCUCAUUUCUUCUAAGUGCUGUGUAUACAUUUGAGACAAUAACUACUGCCUAGAAGACUACAUAAUUUUGAGGUUCUAUAUCCAUUGGUGAAAAUAGAGCAAGUACAGACAGCCUGGAUCAGAUAAAAGGCCAUAACUUUCACUCACCUACUAUAAAACAUAUUACACACAUAUCAGCAAGUUCAUUAGUAAUCCUAUAUGAUCCUAUAUUUUGGAAAUGUUAACCUCUUGCAAAAUAUAUUAUAUAAUACAUAAGCCCACAGUAAUGACAGUUAGCAAUAGAAAAUGUUUUUAAAACAUGCUUCCAAGAUGACACUAUGUAAAGUUAAAAAAAGUAAAGAAAAACUUGGGCAGAAAACUAAAGGCUUAUUGAUUCAGUAUCUAGUGCUGUCAGCCCUUCCAAGCUCACAAUUCUCAGCAAAUAAGAGUUCAGUCCCACUGAAGAAUUCCUUCCAUAGGAUGCUAGACAGCAUGGGGAGCUAAAAGGUGGAAAUUCUCAACAAGGGUAACUCAUAAGAUCAGAUCCUGUAAAAGAGACAUAUCUGAUAUAUUCUAGAAACAGUCAAUUUCAAGACAGUUCCGUGAACGAAAUUCUCAACUUGAGCACAUACAUACAAACAAAAUGUUUCCUUGAAUUUAAUGAUUCAAUCCUGAGCUUAAAAUCACAAUUCUUUCUUUUCUUCUUUAUAUAUAAUAUAUAUAUACAGCUUUCUGAAUAUAAAGGUAUUCUAAUAUUAGUGCUUUGCUGUAUUGAUUUCCAUAGGUUGUCCAGUGGAAUAGUAGCCAUUUAGGGAUUAUGACCUUCCCUUGUCCCUGAUACAGGAAAUAUAUGUUAUAUGACUUGUUCCACAUAAACUGAGAUGUUCAAUGAUGCAGGAAUUUCAUAACCUUCAAGGAAUUCAUAUUCUUUCCGCAACACUGAAUGAAUUGGAAUUAUACUAAUCUUCUCCUGCCUUAUCUUACAUCUUUAACAACUGCUAAACAUGGUAGUCAUCAUUUUAUUCAUUCAUUAGUUUUUUUUUUCUCUACAUUAACUUGGAAGAGAAUUAUUAUUAAGUGUACAGUUACAAUGUCUAUAUAUUAAUAACCGAGCUUCUGAAGACAGAGCACCGACAUAACAAUAACAAGCAAGCAUUAAGCACAAGCACAGAUGGCCCUUGACCAAAACAGUGAAUACAUACUUUCCAUAAGUUAUUAGGAAGAAAGAAAAUUCAGCAAAGCAACUUCAGCCCCAGUGAAGCAAUGGUGACCUCAGCAGCAGAAUUCUUCAUUUAAAAAGCUGAAGAAAAAAAGGGAUGCUAUAACUGAGAAAAAUAUCAAGCCAGAAACAUUUUGAGAAUGAACUCAGUACAUCCUACAUAUCAAAGAAAAAACAGAAAAAAAAAGAAAAAAAAAAAAAAACCACAGGAAAUUUCAUCAGGAGAGUAUAAUAGAGGAACUUUCAUAGACGGGUUUGGUUCACAGAUGGGUUUGAGUUUGGUUAAAUUCAAGGAUCGUUCAAGACUGGGAGAAAUCCAAAUCCAGAAGUUACAGGUGGAUAGUAUUACUUAACAUUACUAUGUAGAUAGGCCAAAGUAGAUUACUCUUGGAAUGCUUUCAAAAUGUGCAUCUGCUAGCGUCAGUGAGCAUGUACACAUAAUGCUAAUGAGAGGCACAGUAAAUCCAUUUUUUCUCAGAGACUGAGCCCUUUGAAAGACUCAAGAUACUGGUAAGCUUUUAGUGAUCAAUAUAGGUCUUGAAACCGUAAGGCACUUAACUUCCAAGAAUUGUUUUUCCCAUAGAAGAUAUACACAGGUCGUUUACACUGUCAGAGACCUCUGAAGAUGUUUUAGAGGUCUUGUUGGUACAGUUUUCUCUACAUCGCCAAAUACUUGAAAGACAGUUAAGCACUCUUGAAGUGCUCUCUUUUUUUUUUUUUUUUCCCCAGAAUGAAGGUAUAAUUUUAUAAAUAAUUUCCUUCCUUAUAAAGAGGUUACAUCAACAAUUUAAGCACACAAAAUUUCCUAAAAUACUUUUAUGCUAUCUGAUGCACUUUCUUGGGGAGGGCUUCUGCCCUCCCUUCAAAAUUAAAUCUUGAAAAUGUCCACACAGGGCUAUAGGUAAAUCUGCCACUACCUAUCUAGACAUAUCUUUAUCUUCAGUCUGACUUUCCACAAUGAAUUAAGAACCAGAUCUGGUGAGAGAGUACCCUACCUUAAAGUUCUCUGUAAAGAGGUAGAAGCCUACAAAUAAAGGCUCUCAUAAGAGUAAAGAGAAAACUUCAGCUUGGUUCAAUAAAGCUUAACAAAGCUCUUUACUGUACACACCAAAAAAACAAAAAACAAGAAAACCAACCAUGCAAUCCAUAGUGAAAAUUCUUACACAACCUGUUGCAAAACACUCACAAGAUCUUUUUAUGUCUCCUCACCGUUUCUCUAAGUAUUUCAGGCAAGAAGCUGCUACUGCACUGCAUUUGAAAAUGAGGGGUUUUGUUGUAGUAAUUGAGGUUAUACAAAUUUAGCUGUGUGAUUCUUCCAUUCUCUGAUUUACCUAGGGCUGGAUUUAAAGAAGUAUGACUAAUCUCAAAACCUAAAAUCUUUCCACAUCAAUAAUAUCAUAUGUAGAUGAAUGCCAAUAGUCCAUAUAUGCAUACAUAAAUAUAAACAAAUAGUAAACACAUUGUCUUCCUAAAUGUUUGUCAAUGUAAGUUUCCUAAGUAUUGCACCACAUAUAGAUGGAAUCUACUGAAACCCUUCGCUUAAAAGUCAGGCUAGAAAUUGCAGUCCAUCUGUACAAAGUUUCUGUUUGCACUGCUCCCACAGUUAGCAUGCCAUGCUCCUGAGUAUGUCUUAUUUGAACAAAGGUUACAACCAUCCUCCUGCACAAGUUGACAGAUGGCCUUGUCUCUUCACUUCCCUGAAGAAAUUUUUCUGUCUGCAGUCUCUUCCACCUUUUACUUUAAUCAUCACCAUUUCUUCUCUGGCUGUGGAUAAGAGCUGAAUGAGCAAGUUUUACACAGGUUUGGAAGCACUGAGAUUUGUGGUCAUUCCAUUCUCUUCCAGAAUUAAGCUCCACAGCCUUGAGCCAGCUGCUGAGAAAGCUCUGUCUGCUGCUCUCAUGAGUUGACAGUUUCAUAGUUCCUCUGAAACGUAGCUGUCAAGGGAAUCUGUCACAGCAGCUGGAGAAAAGCAAUUUCUUAGGUAGUUCGAGCCAGUUCCAUGGAGGGCUUUGAAGAUUAUGGAAAAGAAACUGAAUUUAACCUAAUAUUCCAGCAGCAAUAGGGGUGGGGACCAUCAGUGGAGUGCAGACCCAGUGUCACCACUCCUUACUGCUUAAAAUUACAAGGGAAUGGUUUCCCUCAUGACAUACUGUCUUCUACUUUAAACUCAAACUAGGAAAUGUGAAGGUCUACUGGCAGAAAGCCAGGCUUAUUUCUGUAUAUUUGAGUCUCACAGAAAGGCACCAAGGGAAUUUGAGAUAGUUCCUAUUCUGUGAGACUCUACACCAUUUUAAUCCCUGUUUUGGUUCAGUUAAGGAAAAGAACUCUCUCAUUUAUUAUUUGCAUCUUUUCUAUAAUAAUUUAAAAAAAAUUGCAGGCUCUUCACGUGUAAUGAAUAUAUAUAUAUAAUGAAAGCAUACAAUUAAAAGCAUAUAAAAUGAAGCAUACAAUUCUUCCCAUGUGCUUGUAGUUACACAUAUUAACUUCUUUCCACCAGAGAGGAAAUAAGCUUUAUUGAUAUAAGUCUUUUUCCAUAUUGAACAACUGUAUCCACCCUAGAUUCAGCCUCAUUUAAUUCCAUUUCAGGCCAAUGUACCCAGGCCUUGCCCAUUUAGGUGUGCAGCUGUCUACUGGCACAAGCAGCUGAGAAGAGCUCCUCCUCCCCUCUAGCAAACUAAGUUAUGUAUGUCAGUCAUGAAGCCAGCCAGAUGUAUUUAUUUUGAACAUUCACUAUCUACCGAGUUACUACAGUGAUGAAAACAAACUCACCCCUUCCCCAUCUAACAGUGCAGAGACUGUAUAGCCACAAACAUAGUGUAAAUAAAAUCUAACACCCAAUUCUCUUCAGAGCAUCCCUUUUGUUAUGUGGCAUUUCUGGUAACAGGAAUUAUAGCCACAUGGAGACUUUUUGUUCCCCACUGAAAGUGUGAGAUCCCUGAGAGCAGAUGAUGGUUUUAUUACAAAAACUUUUGUAGUUUGGAAAGAGCAGUUGUAAAAGUUAGUUCAAGGCUUUUAUGACUUCUUUUGUUCAGAAAAAAUUAAGGGGGAAAAAACAUUGGUGAUGUAUGAAAAGAUUACUUGUUUAUAAUCAGUACAUAGAUCCUUGCCUUUUUCAUAAAAGGAAAGGAGACCAGCAGGAGAAUUACAAUACAGAGUACCUCCCAGGAUCUCUUUCACCAUUCUCCCCAUUUGUGUAUUAAGUAACAAGGCAGCUGUUGAACAAGUACUAUCAACAAAGCAAUCUUCUAGCCCUUUGAUUUAGGCUAUUCAUAUCUUCUGCCCUGAAAUAAAAUGACUUUCACAAUUAAAACACCGAAAUCAAUGCUGUAUCUAUUGUCAUGUCUGCAGGAGAAAAGCUUUAAUUACAACCCUAGUUAGAUAACACAAUCAUUACACCUCCUUAAUCUCAAAUAUAAAACCAGUACCCUUCGAGUGCUAUGCCAUCCUUUCUUUGAUUUUUUUUAUGUGGAUAGCUUUUUAUCUGAGCACUUUAAUUUGCAUGCCUUUGCUGCGAGGCAGCUCCCCGUGAUAUGUUAAUUGCAGAGUGCUUUAAGUACUAAAAGAUUAACAUAAAACCCUUUGCAAACAAGCUAAUAGUUUAUGAUAAUUUUUGCAUGGCCUUUGUCUGUCUAUCACUGGAUUGCCUCUAGCUGUAAUUUUAUAAAGAAGCUGUAAAAUAUCAUUUAAACAAGUUCAUUUACACAUAAUUAUUACCAGAAUCACAUUAUUCAAUUUAGAUACUCCAGCCUAUUAACAAUCCAUGAACUAAAAUGUAAUUAAACUAUUUUCCUUUUAUGAACCUAUUCAUUACAACGUGUGGGAGAUGGAUCUCUCAGUUUCACUGAAAAAUUUCAGCACUUUGUUGUUGGAAUUGACAAGUCUGGCACUCAUUCUGUGCUUUUAAUUAUAUUAAAAGUAUUUCAAGACAGCUAAGAUAAAGAAUAUAUUUAGAAAAGAAUGCGCAGAAAUGCCAAGAUGGUGUCAUCCAGAAACAUGUAUUUAUUUCAUUCCACAGUGUUUGCACCUUCUUAUCAGAUAAAAUAGAACCAGGAUAUAUCACUUCAGUUAUAAGUUUUCAGGCUUUUUAGUUUUUGAAAGAUAAACUUGGGGAAAAAAUUGCUAAUGAGAUGAAAUAUUUCAAUUAUGGCUAUACUCUGAAAACCUUACAGUACAUGGGACUUGCAUCAUGCAGCUGUAGACAUUGAUUAGAUCUUCUUAGCUCAAAAAUUGAUUACAUUUCAAGAAAAACUAAAAGUUAUGUAAGCUGCUCACAUGUCCUCUAGAAAUCAUAACAGUUGCUUCAGUGGGUCAAGACAUUACUUGGCAUUCAUUCACUUAAAUUCCCUUGUAGCAAUCAAAAGGUGCAAUAUCCAUGCUUUAGGAAAAGGAAAGUAUUAGGAGCUGUCAAUUUACUGUAGUUUUGUAUGUUAAAAACUUUUUCAAAUAAAGAAACCACUCUGAAUAUGAAAAAUCUCAGUUUUCCCCACUUGAGAAAAACUUUUUCCAGCACAAUUACAGAUCCUACUACAUAAACCAAACCACCCAGAAAAAGUGCCAGAAAAAAAAAAAAAUCCAAUAGAAAUCUAACACAGAGGUUGAAAAACAGUUUUAUUUGAAACUCAGUAACUGGCCUGACACUAGUCCUCAAGAGCCCAAUACUUGAGAAUAGCAGACAACACAAAUGAAUCUCACUUCUGAGGGGUUAAAAAAAAAUAAAGAGGGGAAGGAAGGAGGGAUGCCAAGUUGACCACAGAUACUAACUACCGCAGAGUGGAAAUUGUCACAUCUCUUCUACAGUAGGGAAUCUAUUCAAAAUUUGAGCUGGUAUUCCUAAGGCAAAGAGGAGUCAAAAGUAUGUUGCAGAUGAGGGAUGAAAUAGAAACAGGUCAUUCCUGCAACAGGCAUAAAACUGAAGAAAAAUUCAACCAGAAAUCACUAUGGCAGUAAAAUGGUCUACAUGCAAAACAUUAAUAAAACCCAGAUAUUUUAGUCCCAGUAGUUUGGGAUCUGCAGACCAUCGAGGCUCACAUGCUUAUGUAUUUUCAGUAGUCUUCAAGAGCGAAUAUUUUACUAAUGUUGAUCUGAAUACUACCAUUUAGAUCAGUUCCUACAAAAGUUAUUGACUGUAUACUCAGUGGGUGACUGGACUGUUUGAAUUAAAAAUGAAACUGAAUGUCCUCUAAUUCUCUCUAAACUCCUGGUACAUCAGAUAGAACUACUACUUCUUUACAUUAUAACCUCACAGCUUUUUGUAGUGGGCUUCGUGGAAAUUGUUAGUAAUUGCAUUUCUGAUACAAAAUGAAAACCUGGCAUAAUACACUGUACUUCCCUUGCAUAACAGUAGGCUGCAGCCUCAAAACAAGUUAAAAACAGUUGUUGAAAAAAAUUAGUGUGUGUUUCUUCCAAGCUCUUUUAGAUCAAAGCAUUUCUCAUGUAGCAAUAAGUUUAUGAAGGAACCACAGUGUAUGAAGAAAAACAUUUUUUUCACUUCAGUAUCUUCAGGUUCAUUCCAAACUGCCAUUAUUUGGACUGUCACCCUGACACUGCCUGAGGUGCAUUCCAGCUCUCUGCAAGAAAAUCUGCUUUCCCACUAAUGGGGCUGUUCUUGCAAUGGCAAAUGUAAUUUUCCACUUCAUUAAAAAUAGUGUGCAAAAGGACCUAUUUCUCACUGAACACAGAUCAGUUCCCAGUGAAAUCCUGUUCACCAAAUAUUACAAUAGUAGAAUUCACUUCAAAUGUAGGCACUUACUCGACCUGGACAUAUAGCUCUGAUCCAACCACAGACACACCUGAACAUUCACUGCUCAGUUAUUCAUCAACAUUAGAGAAAAAUUCUCAACAGGUUCAGUGAAGGAACAAGUUCAGAAGUAACUGAGAAAGCUAAAACUGUCAUAACACUUUCUCAAUAUACUAGUUUCCUACUGCCUUACUUCUACAUCCAGCCAUAAGCAGAUUUAUAUAGUGCCUGUUACUUUAUGGCAUAGUUUAUACAGAUUCACAAACCCAUUAAAACACCAAACAGUGGCCUAAGUACAUUUUGCAUGUCUUACCAAGUUCAAAAUUAGAUACCUGUACAGCAAAAUAAAACUUCAGAGCAAGAAAUCUAACAUUCUUUAAUAAAAAAUAGAUACAUUCUGCUAUAUUUCAUAUUUAUUUGCCCAUAUUUAUUUCCCUAUAUCAUUACAUCAUCAAGACAAUCAUACAAAAAGGAAUGAAAAUCAUCACAGAAGAAUGCAUAGGUUCUCCAUCUCAUAAUUCAGUAUAAAUUGUUCUCAUGAAAUACUCUUCAGGAAACAGUACUUCAGUAUCCAUUGAUUAAAAGAGACAAAGAAUGGAGUUCAGUAAAAGCAUUUCAUAAAAAAAGGCCUUUUCAAAUUCUAUGACUAGAGUUCUAAACUGGGCAUUAAGCUUAAGAUUAAAGUUAUCAGUUAGAUCUGAACAGCCCCAAAAUGCCUGAAACAUUUCCUCGAGUUUUCCUAUUUCUACGCUAUUCCAAAACCAAAAAAAUACUAAGUAAUCUAAGUGAAUUUUAAGAAUCUAUCAUGAAAAGAAUAGCAAAGAUAACUCCUAUAGUGUUUACAGUAUGUAUCGUAGCACCUGCCACUAGGUCAGACAAGUAACAAAUCUCACAACUGUAUUCAGAUCAAAGACUGGGCUUACAGAAAACUGAGAAAAGAUAUUCUAAAAAAAAAAGACCUGCAUUUGUUUUAAUCAAGAUUUAAUAAAAGAACUAUGAAGAUAAUGAAUUGUUCGGGACUAUAGUCACACCUUCCAGCUCCUAUGAUUAUGCCUGUUUAAUGUCUCUCUUAGUCUGUGUGUGUGUGUGUGUGUGUGUGUGUGUGAAUCUUUAAUUUUUCAGUUUCAAAAGAAAUUUAAAAACAAUACUUGAAUUAAAACCUAAGUAAAUGAGAUCUAUAGAGACUUGGAAUUAAAGAGUAAAUAUGCAAACAAUAUUCCUUUACUUCUAUCACUGCUAAAUUACUCCUAGACUAAUAAACAGCCCACAAAGCAUGCCUUUGAUUUGUUAUAUUCCGGACUUGCAACCUUGGUUGGCAUGUUUUAAUCUAAGAAUACUACCAUGAAAAAUAUUAUCAUUAUAAUUCUUAAAGUAUUUAGUACCACCAUUGUGACAAUAUGGAGACAUUUUAGGUGGAUAUUUAUCACUGUUGACAGCUUUUUAACUAGGCAUUCAAAAGUUCAGAAGUAUUAAAGAACAUAAAAAGAUCACAUCUGGGGAAUCUUCAAAGAAUAAGCAUCAAAUCACUGAUCUGAAUGAUAAAGGCAGACGACAGGUGACUGUAGUAAAAAGAAUGGUAAUAAAGGGACUACAAUGGGCAAAUCCAUAAUUUAUCAUGGCAAGAAUAAGAAAAGCACCUGCAGUCUACACCAUAGAGCAAUUCAGUUUCUCUAGGCAGUAAGUAGAACUACAGUCAAACAUUUUAGGCAGGCACUCCAGUGAUUUAGUUACUGAUGUCUCCCAGGCAGAGAGUGACAUUCAGUAAAGUAGUGUGAAAAUGACAAAGCACCCAAAUUCUUGAAAACCAACUCCUUAACUUUGAAUGACUACUCAUGUAAGCCCAAAUAUGAAUGCUUUAAAUACCUUUCCAUUUUCUUCCAGAUCUGCAUUUUAAAAUAUUACCGUUAGCAUCUCUCUAUUUGUUUCUGCCAGUUCUAACCAAGAGGAGUGAUAACAUUUCCCCUUUAAAUAGUUCUGAAUUUUAAUAAGGGUGAAUCUUAUUCUGGAGACAGUUGAAAUAAUUUCAAUUUUAUAUCUUAAAACAUUUUAUGAAACUUUAUACGAAUAUUCUUACAUGAAUGUGUAUUUGCAGCCAUCUGUUGAAGAAUAAUACAUUGUGCAAGAAUCACUGGAUAUCCACUCUUCCCAAAAGUACAUCCUCACAGAAAGAGCCUUCUAACAUAAUUUUAAAAUUAUGUUUAAUAUAAGCUUUACUUAAGAAGCAAAUUUUAAUUUGAAUAUAAAACAUGUUUAACUAAAUAUAGCAGCUACAACUGCAUUAAGGAGGUCCCAUUCCUUUGAAUUUAAGAUUUCAACUCAAAAAUAAUUACUUUUCCUAGUUAAACAUACUGCAAAUUUAUUGCAAGUAUUCCAAUAAGUUCUUUAGUUAAAUGAUAAAGAAAGCAGACACCCUUGCAAGACAGUAUUGUCUGACGUGUUCAGUAACAUACAAAGUAGAAAAGUUAUAUUUUUAAACGUCUUGUAAUGAUGACCAUUAAAGGCUAUAAGGCUCUACUCAGCCUACUUCCAUAAGGUACAAUGUAGAUGUAUCUAAUUACCAUUAAAUGGUUCUUGUAAUUCCAAACUCUCAUGCAGUAUGUACAAACUGCCAUUUCAUACAGUUGUAUUUGGUCAAACAGGUUAGCAAGAACAUAACUUCUCUCAAGAACUGCCAAGGUAUUUUCCAUACAUUUUGUGGUUUUUAAAGGGAGUAUUAUCUGAAAAAAAAACAGGCUACAAGCCAGUAAACCAGAUCCACUGCAUGCAUCUUCUACGUGAUCUUUAGAUUUUACUUGAUAUAUAAAAGCUUCAAAACAUCAAUUUAAGGAAAAAAAAAAAAAGUUUUGCUGCAUCAUGAAACAAAACAGGAGAAGAAACUUCAGGUUUUUCUACCUCUACAGUUGACUGCUUCAGACGGCAGGGGAGUGAAGGGGAAGAAAUACAACCCGGUAAACAACAAUAGCAACAAAUCUAAAGGAGUGAAAAAUUAGUAAAAAUACCAAAAUACCUAAAUAUAUUCUCAGCCUGAGAAUAUUCUAUAAUUCAUAAUGUGGCACGUUUGGAUUGAUCUCUGAAAUGAUGUCUGCUGGAUUUUGCUAAAGAAAAAAAUGAGAUAGAACACAGAUUUUAAACUGGUAUAUUUACAAAUCACUAUGCUAUUUUGCAUUUUGUUAAUAGUCUUAAUUCUAACAGAAUUGCUAUGUAGCUCAUUACUUAGGGGAGUCUAUCAUUUUUCCCCCUCUUGUACUAGCAAUACUCUAAACCAUGCUGUAAUUAAUGUAAUUAAGUUUAUUAAUAAAGAUUGAAGGGGUUGGACACUGCAUGAAAUACUUAAUUUUGUGUAUGUUUAGCUGGCUGGAUGUUUAGGUUUGUAUUUAAACUGUCAUCAAAUUAUGUGUAAUUAUGCCAAAGCAGAGAUCUGCCUCUCUUAACCAGUGACAAUGACAGAUUUUCAUAGUUCUGGGAGGUGGGUGGUAAAUCUGCCCACUCUUUUUUAUUUGUUAUAUUUUCCUAUUAUGUCUGAUUCAUGUUCUGCAUGUUUUGGAGCAUCACACUUUGAAUGUAUUAGUUUUUAAUGCAGAAUAAAUGGUUAUGCUGCAGAUAUAUAAUACUCUAAUAACAAAA